CUUACAAUUCAAAUCCAGAACAGCCGUCCAAAUUAUGGGAUUCGAGACUGAACCUGCAAAGAAGAACAUAAAGAAUUGAAGAUUCUGAUAGAUCAAUGUUGAGGAUCGCAGGUCUCCUUAGGGUUUGUGCAGGUGGAAACAAAUACUGGAACAGAGAGAAAAGAAGAGUGCUCUCUUCGUCCCUUCUAGACAAGUGAAGAUAAUGAUCUGG
This 211-nucleotide unclassified non-coding RNA is filed under the name Hevea brasiliensis (rubber tree). The record is from RNAcentral. Lineage: Eukaryota; Viridiplantae; Streptophyta; Magnoliopsida; Malpighiales; Euphorbiaceae.